Long non-coding RNA from Syngnathus acus (greater pipefish), 171 nucleotides. RefSeq lists it as uncharacterized. The record is from RefSeq and is a predicted model, not a curated record. The transcript has 3 exons. NCBI's taxonomy places the organism in Eukaryota, Metazoa, Chordata, Actinopteri, Syngnathiformes, Syngnathidae.
UUUUUUCCCUGCUCACAUUUGAUGCACUUUGAAUCUGUUCAGUUACAGACUAAAAAACACUGUUAUUAAUAAAGUUAUUCUUUAUUGUAAGUUGAUCUUUCUUUUUUAUUUAUUUUUUGUUUUUCCUUUAAUGUUAAUAACAUGGGGGGGGGGGGGGGGGGGGGGCGCAAA